GGCCCUGGAGUCUGGAAAGGGGCCCAGGCGUCCGGGAAGGGCCCAGGUGUCCGGGAGGGGGCCCAGGAGUCUGGGAAGGGGCCCAGGCGUCCGGGAAGGGCCCAGGUGUCCGGGUGGGAAGGGGCCCAGGAGUCCAGGAAAGGGGCCCAGGCAUCCGGGGAAGGGGCCCAGGAAUCCGGGAAGGGCCCAGGAGUCCGGGAAGGGGCCCCGGC
Non-coding RNA from Tinamus guttatus (white-throated tinamou), 212 nucleotides. NCBI's taxonomy places the organism in Eukaryota, Metazoa, Chordata, Aves, Tinamiformes, Tinamidae. The record is from RefSeq and is a predicted model, not a curated record.